This is a long non-coding RNA of Zingiber officinale, 216 nucleotides long. RefSeq lists it as uncharacterized. The transcript has 3 exons. The record is from RefSeq and is a predicted model, not a curated record. Lineage: Eukaryota; Viridiplantae; Streptophyta; Magnoliopsida; Zingiberales; Zingiberaceae.
GGUGGACAAGGGGAACAGCUGGGCGCCGUUCGGACGGACGUACGAAGGCGCCACCACGCUCCACUGCGCCAUCAUGGGCAACGCGCCGAGGAUUCCCCUGGAUGACGAGUCUCUCGAUUACCCUCGCAAGCAAAGCAUAAGAGAUAUCGAGGAUCAGGACUUUCAUGAUGAAAAUUCAGGAGAAAUAAAGAAGGACAAAGAUGAAUUAGAAAGAGG